GGGGCUGUAGCUCAGCUGGAUAGAGCGGCCGCCUCCUAAGCGGCAGGUCGAGGGUUCGAAUCCCGCCAGUCCCG
RNAcentral lists this transfer RNA (74 nucleotides) under Pseudanabaena sp. FACHB-2040. It matches the Rfam family "tRNA". Rfam says of the family: Transfer RNA (tRNA) molecules are approximately 80 nucleotides in length. Their secondary structure includes four short double-helical elements and three loops (D, anti-codon, and T loops). Further hydrogen bonds mediate the characteristic L-shaped molecular structure. tRNAs have two regions of fundamental functional importance: the anti-codon, which is responsible for specific mRNA codon recognition, and the 3' end, to which the tRNAs corresponding amino acid is attached (by aminoacyl-tRNA synthetases). tRNAs cope with the degeneracy of the genetic code in two manners: having more than one tRNA (with a specific anti-codon) for a particular amino acid; and 'wobble' base-pairing, i.e. permitting non-standard base-pairing at the 3rd anti-codon position. Lineage: Bacteria; Bacillati; Cyanobacteriota; Cyanophyceae; Pseudanabaenales; Pseudanabaenaceae. The record is from Rfam by way of RNAcentral.